Molecule: long non-coding RNA, 251 nt
Filed under: Vitis vinifera (wine grape)
Lineage: Eukaryota; Viridiplantae; Streptophyta; Magnoliopsida; Vitales; Vitaceae
Description: long non-coding RNA (VVIN_LNC004618)
Source: RNAcentral
ACAUCUCAUGUUUUACUCCAAAGGUGUAAAAGUCAUUUUACACCUUAAGUCGGAAAUAUGUGAAUUGAUCUAAACAAUCAUCUAUCAUCAAUCUAAACUAAAUCAAAUUCCUAAUAAGAUCAUAAUCUAAUACUUUGAUACCACUUUGUCUUGUCUCAAGGCCUAUUCCAUGAGUAUGAUUAUCAUUUGACACCUAAGUCGCACCUCAAAUAGGAAGACUUAAAGUGUGAAUUGACCCAAUUGUCAUUAGU